Molecule: ribosomal RNA, 305 nt
Filed under: uncultured bacterium
Lineage: Bacteria
Description: bacterial SSU rRNA
Rfam family: Bacterial small subunit ribosomal RNA
Source: RNAcentral
UUCGUCCUACGGGAGGCAGCAGUGGGGAAUAUUGCACAAUGGGGGAAACCCUGAUGCAGCGACGCCGCGCGAGUGAAGAAGUAUUUCGGUAUGUAAAGCUCUAUCAGCAGGGAAGAUAAUGACGGUACCUGACUAAAAAGCCCCGGCUAACUACGUGCCAGCAGCCGCGGUAAUACGUAGGGGGCAAGCGUUAUCCGGAUUUACUGGGUGUAAAGGGUGCGUAGGUGGCAGGGCAAGUCAUAUGUGAAAUCCCGGGGCUCAACCCCGGUACUGCAUUUGAAACUGUCCAGCUGGAUAGCAGGAGG